GAAGAGUGGCGAACGGGUGAGGAACACGUAAGAAUCUACCUUUCGGUUGGGGAUAACACGGGGAAACCUGUGCUAAUACCGAAUAUUGAAACAUAAGUGGCAUCACUGAGUUUUGAAAGAAUUUCGGUGGAGGAUGACUUCGCGGCCUAUCAGCUAGUUGGUGAGGUAAUGGCUCACCAAGGCAACGACGGGUAGCCGGCCUGAGAGGGCGACCGGCCACACUGGGACUGAGACACGGCCCAAACUCC
Molecule: ribosomal RNA, 248 nt
Filed under: uncultured bacterium
Lineage: Bacteria
Description: partial 16S ribosomal RNA
Rfam family: Bacterial small subunit ribosomal RNA
Source: RNAcentral